Molecule: ribosomal RNA, 223 nt
Filed under: uncultured bacterium
Lineage: Bacteria
Description: partial 16S ribosomal RNA
Rfam family: Bacterial small subunit ribosomal RNA
Source: RNAcentral
CGUAACGCGUAUGCAACCUACCUUUAACAGGGGAUAACACUGAGAAAUUGGUACUAAUACCCCAUAAUAUCAUAGAAGGCAUCUUUUAUGGUUGAAAAUUCCGAUGGUUAGAGAUGGGCAUGCGUUGUAUUAGCUAGUUGGUGAGGUAAAGGCUCACCAAGCCGACGAUCUCUAGCUGGUCUGAGAGGAUGACCAGCCACACUGGGACUGAGACACGGCCCAG